This is a long non-coding RNA of Lethenteron reissneri (Far Eastern brook lamprey), 1477 nucleotides long. RefSeq lists it as uncharacterized. NCBI's taxonomy places the organism in Eukaryota, Metazoa, Chordata, Hyperoartia, Petromyzontiformes, Petromyzontidae. The record is from RefSeq and is a predicted model, not a curated record.
UCUCUCUCUCCGCAGUGUGGAUUCGUGAUGGGGGAUCCAGCACCCCAUCCGUGGCCACCUUCCUCUUCAUGCGGUGGUGCCUGGGCAGGUUCCACGGGAGGGUGUCCCCUGCCGACAGCGACUGCGAUCCCGACGCCUGGCCACUGCUGCUGCAGCUACUGCUGUCCUCAUCCGACGAGUCGACGGUGGUGGUGGUGGUGGUGGACAAGCCUGAGAUCGAAACUAAAGCCAAUGGGUGUCCUAAGGUCAAGUGGGAUGAAUGCUUUCCAUCCGUCGUGGAUUGCUCUACUGUAUGUGUCACAAUUGCUGGUAUGACAUAAGGGCAGGAAAUGCAAGGAUGUGGAGUGGUGGGGUUAGGGGUUGGGUGAGUUGGGUCUUUGUUGUGCUACCGGGGAGGAGUGGUUGGAGGGAGAAAUAAUGAAGAGAGAAAAAAUAUUUAUUUGCUAUUAAUCUAUGUUUUUUUUUAACCCGGUAAGGCCCACUGAGCGAUAUAGCUGUGGUUUUUUUGUUUGUUCAAAAGCGACCUGGACCACAAAUCAUAUCUCAACGAAGUGGCUUAUCAUGCGGAAAUGUAUAGCAGCCGAGUACUUUAAACGCGUGUUUAUAAAUGUGGAGGGGAAAACUCGGAAGACCCGGAGAAAAAUCCACGCGACCACGAGGAGACACGCAAACUCAAGAGUCGGAAUCGAACCCACGAGUUGCUGCAUACCAGACGAUGUAGUGAACAUCUCGCCACCGAGAUGAUAAGAGUGGAUGGUAACAGUGCCGGAUUAAGCUAGUGCGGGGCCUGUAGCAUAUGUUGCAAAGGGGCCCUAAAUAAAAUAAAAAUAUUAAAACACAUUUUGUUUUACUUGCAGAGUAAAGUACAGUAAUUGUAUAUUUGUAUUUGCUAUACAGCCAGAUAAUACGACAAAUCGCUAACCUUAACCACCCAGUCGUUCAUAAAAGUUGAAGGCAGUAUAGUACUAUAGUAAUAGAGCAAGUGCAGAAUCACUGAACCGGAAUUGAUAGCUUGAAAGCAUUUAGCGCGGGGCCCUUAAAAGUGCGGGACCCGUAGCAUAUGCUACUUUUACAACUAGGAUAAUCCGGCACUAGAUGGCAAUAAUAACACGGUGAAGUGCUGGUGCAGUUACACGAGUUCGAUUGCCGGUCAUGGAAAACAUCAUCAGUGGCAUUUGAAUCGGUCCCAGCCCCUACCCCUCACUCUUCACCAGUCCGUACUGACCAGACGCGUGAAGUAUUGUCAAACAAGCCACAUCAUCGACACUGCGUGGGAAGGUCUUUGUCCAUCAAGUGGAUCGGCAAAGGGAUGUAAAUUCCUGCAUUGCUGUUAUGAACGGACAUUAAGUUGGAUGAAUGAAUGGGUCGAUGAUGGCAUCCCUAAAACAAAGAGCUUAACCCUCCAAAAAACAGACAGAACCAGCUCUCCCUUGUUUAAAUAAACAGCGUGCACUGUUACUUCCUCGGGGGAUCACUG